GACGAACGCUGGCGGCGUGCCUAAUACAUGCAAGUUGAGCGAUGAAGAUUGGUGCUUGCACCAAUUUGAAGAGCAGCGAACGGGUGAGUAACGCGUGGGGAAUCUGCCUUUGAGCGGGGGACAACAUUUGGAAACGAAUGCUAAUACCGCAUAACAACUUUAAACAUAAGUUUUAAGUUUGAAAGAUGCAAUUGCAUCACUCAAAGAUGAUCCCGCGUUGUAUUAGCUAGUUGGUGAGGUAAAGGCUCACCAAGGCGAUGAUACAUAGCCGACCUGAGAGGGUGAUCAGCCAGAUUGGGACUGAGACACGGCACAAACUCCUACGGGAGGCAGCAGUAGGGAAUCGUCGGCAAUGGACGAAAGUCUGACCGAGCAACGCCGCGGGAGUGAAGAAGGUUUUCGGAUCGUAAAACUCUGUUGGUAGGGAAGAACGUUGGUGAGAGUGGAAAGCUCAUCAAGUGACGGUAACUACCCAGAAAGGGACGGCUAACUACGUG
This 497-nucleotide ribosomal RNA is filed under the name uncultured bacterium. RNAcentral's name for it is "partial 16S ribosomal RNA". It matches the Rfam family "Bacterial small subunit ribosomal RNA", at positions 28 to 507 of the family's 1533-position model. The record is from RNAcentral.